ACGGGAGGCAGCAGUGGGGAAUUUUCCGCAAUGGGCGAAAGCCUGACGGAGCAGCGCCGCGUGAGGGAUGAAGGCCUCUGGGCUGUAAACCUCUUUUAUCAAGGAAGAAGAUCUGACGGUACUUGAUGAAUAAGCCACGGCUAAUUCCGUGCCAGCAGCCGCGGUAAUACGGGAGUGGCAAGCGUUAUCCGGAAUUAUUGGGCGUAAAGCGUCCGCAGGCGGCCUGACAAGUCUGCUGUUAAAGCGUGGAGCUUAACUCCAUUUCAGCAGUGGAAACUGUCAGGCUUGAGUGUGGUAGGGGCAGAGGGAAUUCCCGGUGUAGCGGUGAAAUGCGUAGAUAUCGGGAAGAACACCAGUGGCGAAAGCGCUCUGCUGGGCCAUCACUGACGCUCAUGGACGAAAGCCAGGGGAGCGAAAGGGAUUAGAUACCCCUGUAGUCCUGGCCGUAAACGAUGAACACUAGGUGUCGGGGGAAUCGACCCCUCCGGUGUCGUAGCCAACGCGUUAAGUGUUCCGCCUGGGGAGUACGCACGCAAGUGUGAAACUCAAAGGAAUUGACGG
Molecule: ribosomal RNA, 561 nt
Filed under: uncultured bacterium
Lineage: Bacteria
Description: bacterial SSU rRNA
Rfam family: Bacterial small subunit ribosomal RNA
Source: RNAcentral